Esox lucius (northern pike) is the source of this 4582-nucleotide long non-coding RNA. The record is from Ensembl. NCBI's taxonomy places the organism in Eukaryota, Metazoa, Chordata, Actinopteri, Esociformes, Esocidae.
GUUUUCCUUGGACGUCUCGGACAAAUGUUGGAUAUGUAGAUAUUUGGAAGGGAGACAUUUCAUGAUGAUAUAUCCUUUGCUAUAACAUCGAUAAGUACCUCUGCCGCUCUGCCACUCAAACAUUCUCACAUUAGAGUUGAAGUAUGUUGAUACCUAUAGUUAAAGUUUCAAGUUUUAUUUGGCAAAUGCACAGAACAACACAGCGUCAUCCUGCCUAAUUAAAUUAUUGCGACAUGGGACCCGACAACUACGCAGUGAAAAUUACGAGAAAAAUAUACAAGCAAAAAAAUAUAUAGCCAAAAAAAAUUAUAAAGCUAAAAUAUACACAACACAGUACACUAGCAGAUGUUUAAAAGGAGUACUGUAAACUGGCAGCAAUCUGGGAAGUAGGAUUGAACAUUAUAGAUAUGGCAUCGUGUAUGGUAGAUGCCUUGCACGGAGGGAGGAUGGUAGCUGAUUACACGCUCCGCAGACUUUACCGCCUGUACCAGGCUGUAAUGCAGCCUGAGAGGAUACUUACAAUGGUGCACCUGUAGAAGUUGAAAUCGAGACUCAUCAGACCAGGCAACAUUCUUCCAGUCUUCAACUGUCCAAUUUUGGUGAGCUCGUGCAAAUUGUAGCCUCUUUUUCCUAUUUGUAGUGAUGAGUGGUACCCGGUGGGGUCUUCUGCUGUUGUAGCCCAUCCGCCUCAAGGUUGUGCGUGUUGUGGCUUCACAAAUGCUUUGCUGCAUACCUCGGUUGUAACGAGUGGUUAUUUCAGUCAAAGUUGCUCUUCUAUCAGCUUGAAUCAGUCGGCCCAUUCUCCUCUGACCUUUAGCAUCAUCAAGGCAUUUUCGCCCACAGGACUGCCGCAUACUGGAUGUUUUUCCCUUUUCACACCAUUCUUUGUAAACCCUAGAAAUGGUUGUGCGUGAAAAUCCCAGUAACUGAGCAGAUUGUGAAAUACUCAGACCGGCCCGUCUGGCACCAACAACCAUGCCAUGCUCAAAAUAGCUUUCCCAUUCUGACAUUCAGUUUGGAGUUCAGGGGAUUGUCUUGACCAGGACCCCUAAAUGCAUUGAAGCAACUGCCAUGUGAUUGGUUGAUUAGAUAAUUGCAUUAAUGAGAAAUUGAACAGGUGUUCCUAAUAAUCCUUUAGGUGAGUGUAUAUAUAUACACCGAUCAGCCAUAACGUUAUGACCACCUGCCUAAUAUUGUGUAGUUCCCCUUUUUGCCGCCAAAACAGCGCUAACCCGUCGAGGCAUGGACUCCACUAGACCUCUGAAGGUGUGCUGUGGUAUCUGGUACCAAGAGGUUAGCAGCAGAUCCUUUAAGUCCUGUAAGUUGCGAGGUGGGGCCUCUAUGGAUCGGACUUGUUUGUCCAGCACAUCCCACAAAUGCUCGAUUGGAUUGAGAUCUGGAGAAUUUGGAGGCCAAGUCAACACCUUGAACUCAUUGUUGUAUUCCUCAAACCAUUCCGGAACCAUUUUUGCUUUGUGGCAGGGCGCAUUAUCCUGCUGAAAGAGACCAAUGCCAUCAAGGAAUACCAUUGCCAUGAAAGAGACCAAUGCCAUCAAGGAAUACCAUUGCCAUGAAAGGGUGUACAUGGAUUGCAAUAAUACUUAGGUAGGUGGUAUGUGUCAAAGUAACAUCCACAUGAAUGGCAGGAUCCAAGGUUUCCCAGCAGAACAUUGCCCAAAGCAUCACACUGCCUCCGCCGGCUUGCCUUCUUCCCAUAGUGCAUCCUGGUGCCAUGUGUUCUCCAGGUAAGCGACUCACACGCACCCAGCCAUCAACGUGAUAUAAAAGGAAACGUGUUUCAUCAGACCAGGCCACCUUCUUCCAUUGCUCCGUGGUCCAGUUCUGAUGCUCACGUGCCCAUUUUAGGCAGUGUCGGCAGUGGACAGGGGUCAGCAUUGGCACCCUGACUGGUCUGCGGCUACGCCACCCCAUACACAACAAACUGCAAUGCACUGUAUGUUCUGACACCUUUCUAUCAGUACCAGCAUUAACUUUUUCAUAAAUUUGAGCUACAGUAGCUCGUCUGUUGGAUCGGACCACACAGGCCAGCCUUCCCUCCCCACGUGCAUCAAUGAGCCUUGGCCGCCCAUGACUCUGUCGCCGGUUCACCGCUUUUCCUUCCUUGGACCACUUUUGAUAGGUACUGACCACUGCAGGCCGGGAACACCCCACAAGGGCUGCAGUGUUGGAGAUGCUCUGACCCAGUCGUCUAGCCAUCACAAUUUGGCCCUUGUUAAAGUCGCUUGCCCAUUUUUCCUGCUUCUAACACAUCAACUUGAGGAGUUGAGUAGAGAAUGUUCACUUGCUGCCUAAUAAAUCCCACCCACUGACAGGUUUCAUUAUAACGAGAUUAUCAAUAUUAUUCACUUCACCUGUCAGUGGUCAUAAUGUUACAGCUAAUCGGCGUAUAUGCCACUGUAUUUAGCCAGUUGAAAAAUCUAAAUAUAAUUAUAUAUAAAGUUACAUUUAUAUGGAAGUUGCUAACUUUGGCUGUUAUGAAACAACAGAAAAAAUGCUGAUUCGUUUAUUUUUUCUACGACACUGUAUUUAAGUCUUUGCAUAUGAAGUAGGUGACUGAUUGUGUGAUUUGCGUUGCCUGUUUGGAAUUGUGGGGUAGUCUUUAGUGAUGGGAAGUUCGACUCACUUUACUGGACUGGAUCUUUCGAAUCGUUCAGUAAAAAGAACAAAUCUUUCGACUCAUUUAGUUCAUUUGACUCAGUCCCUCUCUGCCUCCUGGGGAAGUAUAGCACUCCCUUAAACAAGUCGCUACACUUGUUAAAUGGGAACAGUAAAUGCUACACCAUAUCCUGCUUGAUUAGAUUUAAAAAUGUGUUAUUGUACAAAAACCGCACAAGAUGCAUCUCAUUGUCCAGAUUCUCAGUGAAAUUGUCAUACUCAUCACAACUUCUAAACAUUCUUUCAUCGUUUGAGCCAUCUCAUGCUAAAUGAUCCAUUCAAUUAGAAAGAUCUGUCAGACAUCAAUGCAUAUUCCAUAAAUAUAAAUGACAUGUAAUGGUUGUGAUCUCUGCUCAAUCGACAGACUACCUGUCAGGUGACAUAGUAAUGAAAUAGGAAUCACCAGGAGAUCUUUUUCCUGGUGCAUCCCAAGGGAAAACAUCAGAUGUGAAGUUGAUGAAAAUCAACAAGUGUGACAGGAUGUCCACCCAGAGGUUGGGAACUUGUAGUGUUAUGUACCGUGAGGAGGUGCAAUUCAUUGUUAUUUACAGAACUACCGCAGGAUUUUUCAUUAUAGAAUUUAGUUGUUUUCAGGGAUGUCAUUUUGUGGCGAAUUUUCAGCUCACUGUAUAUGGCUUUAUAUGUAAGAAAUAUGUAAAAGUUGACAUGCAAAUGUGAAUUUUCUUUUUACAUGUAACAUAUUGCUACAUUUACUGUAUAAAUACAAAUAUGCAUAUCCUUUUUCUGUGUACUACAGAAUUGUACAGUAUUCACUUUUCCCAGUAAACUUUUACCACUGUUGGAACUUGUAUUUAAAAUGCUCAGUGUGAUACACACCAGCAUUAAGCUAGUCAGAAAAUAGAACAAAACUGAAAUGUAUACAUAACAAAUAUUUCCAGGGAUGACUGCCAUGGUGAAAAAACAUCUAACCAUUUUGACCAGUAUGGCUCACAGGAUGAGAAAAAAACUUUCAUUUUGCUGACACUUCCCACAUUUCCCAUACUCACCGUCCUCUCCACACCUGGCACACCUCUUCCACGUUGUUGCCACAUGCCCAAACCUCUGACAGUUAAAGCACAUACGCCCUUACAAAAAUCACGGACUGGCUGUCAACACUCCAUCCUUCUGUGUCUGCAGCCUUAUCACAUUCCCUAGCGCUCCCCCUCAAUAUUAUCAAUCAUUUCCUUAUCUGUCACACACACCGACACCUCUGUGAUCACCCCUUUUGACCACUGUUCUCUUUGUAGCCCAACCACUCUGCCCCACUCCACCCUAAACUUCCGUAACUGAUUCACUAUUCCUACUUUAAAUUCUUCCCCAGCUCGAAGUCUCGUUUCUCCACACCACUACCCCCAUCUACCCGCGGCGUAGCUCUCUCCGUUUCUCCCCACCACGACCCCCAUCUACCCGCCGUGUAGCUCUCUCCGUUUCUCCCCACCACGACCCCCAUCAACCCGCGGUGUAGCUCUCUCCGUUUCUCCUCGCGGUGUAGCUCUCUCCGUUUCUCCCCACCACGACCCCCAUCAACCCGCGGUGUAGCUCUCUCCGUUUCUCCCCGCGGUGUAGCUCUCUCCGUUUCUCCCCACCACUACCAAUCUCCGGGCAGCUGCUACUACCGGACGCCACACUAAUGGUUUGCAGCUUCUUUUUUCUUCCUCCUGCCCACUACUAUCUCUGGUAAAUAUGCUACCACCACUACCCCAUGUCUUACCUCCACUGUGCCCCAUGCCAUCUUCGCUAACCCCGUGGCUGUCCUCUUCCCUCUCUGUCUGAUUUUAAUCCAUGUUCAUAAAGCAGCGUUGAAAAAACUAUUUUAAUUUGUCGUCAUUUUUUGUGCUUUGGUUAAGUUAAGAGGGAGAAAUCCAUUUUGUAGUCCACUUAUAAGGUCUCAGUUAUACCCACCAGG